AGGGUAGACGAACUAACCCCUAUUGAAGUUUAGUUCUUACGUUAAGGAGAAAUAGUAUG
This 59-nucleotide small RNA is filed under the name unclassified sequences. Its description in RNAcentral is "DUF2815 RNA". It matches the Rfam family "DUF2815 RNA". The record is from Rfam by way of RNAcentral.